RNAcentral lists this transfer RNA (71 nucleotides) under Bos taurus (domestic cattle). It matches the Rfam family "tRNA". From Rfam's summary of the family: Transfer RNA (tRNA) molecules are approximately 80 nucleotides in length. Their secondary structure includes four short double-helical elements and three loops (D, anti-codon, and T loops). Further hydrogen bonds mediate the characteristic L-shaped molecular structure. tRNAs have two regions of fundamental functional importance: the anti-codon, which is responsible for specific mRNA codon recognition, and the 3' end, to which the tRNAs corresponding amino acid is attached (by aminoacyl-tRNA synthetases). tRNAs cope with the degeneracy of the genetic code in two manners: having more than one tRNA (with a specific anti-codon) for a particular amino acid; and 'wobble' base-pairing, i.e. permitting non-standard base-pairing at the 3rd anti-codon position. RNAcentral also lists the same sequence under 2 other names. The record is from Rfam by way of RNAcentral. Lineage: Eukaryota; Metazoa; Chordata; Mammalia; Artiodactyla; Bovidae.
UCCUGGUGGCUCAGAUGAUAGAGCGUCUGUCUACAAUGCGGGAGACCCGGGUUUGAUCCCUGGAUCAGGAA